Molecule: long non-coding RNA, 202 nt
Organism: Bombus huntii
Lineage: Eukaryota; Metazoa; Arthropoda; Insecta; Hymenoptera; Apidae
Exons: 2
Source: RefSeq, a predicted model, not a curated record
AGUUGGAAGUAUCAUAACUUUUUCACCAGGCUGUAAUUACACAGUGAAAUAUAUUUUUAUAAAGUCACCGCAAAAUAUAUCCUAGGUAUUAAUUAACUACUUAACAAGUAUUAUUCUAUAGUAAAAAAAAAAGAAGAACUUACUCUACGUUGCGUCCAGUGGACGUUGGAUAAUGCAUCGAUAAACGUAAACGAUGAUCGGG